GUCUGCGGCCAUGCUACCCUGAACAAGCCCAAUCCCAUCUUAUCUUGGAAGCUAAGCAGGGUUGGGCCUGGUUAGUACUUGGAUGGGAGACCACCUAGGAAGACCAGGUGCUGUAGGCG
Molecule: non-coding RNA, 119 nt
Organism: Pteropus alecto (black flying fox)
Lineage: Eukaryota; Metazoa; Chordata; Mammalia; Chiroptera; Pteropodidae
Source: Rfam